RNAcentral lists this ribosomal RNA (460 nucleotides) under uncultured bacterium. Its description in RNAcentral is "bacterial SSU rRNA". It matches the Rfam family "Bacterial small subunit ribosomal RNA", at positions 29 to 509 of the family's 1533-position model. The record is from RNAcentral.
AGCGAACGCUGGCGGCAGGCCUAACACAUGCAAGUCGAGCGCCCGUAGCAAUACGGGAGCGGCAGACGGGAGAGUAACACGUGGGAACGUACCCUUCAGUUCGGAACAACCCAGGGAAACUUGGGCUAAUACCGAAUACGUCCGUAAGGAGAAAGAUUUAUCGCUGAAGGAUCGGCCCGCGUCUGAUUAGCUAGUUGGUGAGGUAAUGGCUCACCAAGGCGACGAUCAGUAGCGGUCUGAGAGGAUGAUCAGCCUCAUUGGGACUGAGACACGGCCCAAACUCCUACGGGAGGCAGCAGUGGGGAAUAUUGGACAAUGGGCGCAAGCCUGAUCCAGCCAUGCCGCGUGGAUGAUGAAGGCCUUAGGGUUGUAAAGUCCUGUCAUUUGAGAACAAGGUGCACCGGUUAACUGCCGGUGCAUUGAUAGUAUCAGAAGAGGAAGAGACGGCUAACUCUGUGCC